GACGAACGCUGGCGGCGUGCCUAACACAUGCAAGUCGAGCGGAGAUGUACUGAAGAUUUAUCGGAUGUACAUCUUAGCGGCGGACGGGUGAGUAACGCGUGGGCAACCUGCCUUUCACUGGGGGAUAACACAGGGAAACCUGUGCUAAUACCGCAUGACAUCACGUAGGGCAUCCUAUGUGAUCAAAGGAGAGAUCCGGUGGAAGAUGGGCCCGCGUCCAAUUAGCUGGUUGGUGAGGUAAAGGCUCACCAAGGCGACGAUUGGUAGCCGAACUGAGAGGUUGAUCGGCCACAUUGGGACUGAGACACGGCCCAGACUCCUACGGGAGGCAGCAGUGGGGAAUAUUGCGCAAUGGGGGGAACCCUGACGCAGCAACGCCGCGUGAAGGAAGAAGGUCUUCGGAUUGUAAACUUCUUUGAUGAGGGACGAAUAAAGUGACGGUACCUCAAAACAAGCCACGGCUAACUACGUGCCAGCAGCCGCGGUAAAAGUGU
Molecule: ribosomal RNA, 494 nt
Filed under: uncultured bacterium
Lineage: Bacteria
Description: bacterial SSU rRNA
Rfam family: Bacterial small subunit ribosomal RNA
Source: RNAcentral